Molecule: long non-coding RNA, 1738 nt
Organism: Stegastes partitus (bicolor damselfish)
Lineage: Eukaryota; Metazoa; Chordata; Actinopteri; Pomacentridae
Exons: 2
Source: RefSeq, a predicted model, not a curated record
CGUAAAGAAGCUGCGUUGUUGAUGCUGACUGUGUAAUGGCAGACGGGUGAAAUCUCUCCUCAAACCUUCUCAUGCUCCAGAAAGCAAUGGCAUUUCAUUCGUAAUGUCAUGAGUCAUCUUUAAUAAAGAGAGCAAGGCGCUCUGAUCCUGGCUCGUAAAAUCGAGUUUGGCUUGCUGUUCAUCUGCGUUAACAUACUGGGCGUGUACAACACGUAGUGGGAACAGUAUAGUGAAAUGCCAAUUAUCGAGAGGCAAAGAUGUCAGUGCAAGACGCAACAAUGGAUUCUGAGCAGCAAACUGAAGCAACAGUUGGAAAAGCUAAAUCUGAAGCAAGUCACAAUCAUGCAGUAUCAUCCAAGUCAUCUGGGUCCCGAGCCUCCAGUAAAUCCUCGAUUGUUGAAGCAGCUGCUAGAGCUUGAGCUUUGGCUGAAACUACAAAAGCUAAAAUUGCCUAUGCCAGAAAACAGUUAGAGCUCAAAGAAGAAAGAGCUAGACUGGAGGCACAGCUAGAAGUCCUUGAAAUUGAAAAAGAAGCAGCAGCAGCUGUCGCCAAGGCUGAAGUUUUAGAGGCUGCUGUGGCCGAAGACCGUGAUGGUUUCAGGAGUGUGCGAAGUUCAGUCCCCUUUCAAGUUGUUCAGAAAAGAACAGAAGAAUAUGUGCAGAGUCAAACAGUACACAGCUUUCCAGAUAAACAAUCAAACAUUGAACCGCCACUACUUGUGAGUAAUGGUGUGAGCUCACCAUCCAAGCUCCCAGCAAUCAAACCAUCAGAGACCACCAGCCUGCCAGUAAAAUAUGAAACACCCUCAUCCCUCUGGCACCCUCAUCCUUCUGGCACACCGAAACACCAAGAAAAGGUGAAUCAUCCAACCUCCUCUCGCCAUGCUGAGCCCCCUCCUAUGGUUGACUUCGCCAGAUUUCUGGCUCGUAGGGAAUUGAUAACUAUUGGUCUUUUUAAGUUUGAUGAUACUCCUGAAAGUUACAGAUCAUGGCAGUCAUCAUUUCUAAACGCUAUAGAAGACCCUGACCUCACAUUUGGCGAAGAGUUAGGUCGUGUGGUGAAAUGGCUGGGCAAAGAAUCGUCAGAGCACGUGAAAAGGAUUCGAGCCGCUUACGCCACCAAUCCUCAAGCUGCACUUCAAGCAUCAUGGGAUAGACUUAGAGAGUGUUAUGCUACACCAGAAGUUGUAGAAAAUGCCCUGUUUGGUAGGUUGGAUAGCUUCCCACGUCUUUCAGUCAGAGACAAGGCAAAGUUGAGAGAGCUCAGUGAUUUGCUCUUGGAACUCCUGGCAGCUAAAAAUGAGAACUACCUCCCAGGCCUUGCUUAUCUAGAUACACCACGCUGUAUAAAACCUGUAGUUGAAAAACUGCCUCCAGGUUUACAAGACAAGUGGCUUCAGACUGGUUCACGGUACAAAAAAGAACAUGGUGUGGUGUUUCCACCUUUCUCCUUUUUUGUGGACUUCAUCUAUGAGCAGGCUAAAGCCAGAAAUGACCCAAGUUUCACUCUACCACACAGCAGCCAAUCAUACAGUAAAGGUGAAAGAGUCCCAUUCAAACCCAGUGCACACAGAGCAUCUGUCUCAGUCCAUAAAACUGAAGUUGCCUCAGCCGCAGACAUAAACUCAAAGGAUAAUGAUCUUACACGCUUUUGCCCUAUUUGUAAGAAUGAACGUUGGAAUGUUGGAGCUUAGUUUUUGAUCUGUGCAAAUAAAGUAACUUAUAUAAUGAUUGUGAA